AGAAUGAACGCUGGCGGCAUGCCUAACACAUGCAAGUCGAACGAAUGCCCUUCGGGGUGUUAGUGGCGCACGGGUGCGUAACGCGUGGGAAUCUGCCCCUUGGUACGGGAUAACAGCGGGAAACUGCUGCUAAUACCGUAUGAUAUCGCGAGAUCAAAGAUUUAUCGCCAAGGGAUGAGCCCGCGUAGGAUUAGCUAGUUGGUGGGGUAAAGCCUACCAAGGCGACGAUCCUUAGCUGGUCUGAGAGGAUGAUCAGCCACACUGGGACUGAGACACGGCCCAGACUCCUACGGGAGGCAGCAGUGGGGAAUAUUGGACAAUGGGCGAAAGCCUGAUCCAGCAAUGCCGCGUGAGUGAUGAAGGCCUUAGGGUUGUAAAGCUCUUUUACCCGGGAAGAUAAUGACUGUACCGGGAGAAUAAGCCCGGCUAACUCCGCGCCAGCAGCCGC
Molecule: ribosomal RNA, 448 nt
Filed under: uncultured bacterium
Lineage: Bacteria
Description: SSU rRNA
Rfam family: Bacterial small subunit ribosomal RNA
Source: RNAcentral